GAAAAACUCAGAAGCACCCAGAUGUCUUGGCUGGACAGGAAUGGUCUGGAACACCCAGAGAAAAUGAGAGAGAACAGAAUACAUUUUGACAGGAGAGAACCUUGCUGAGUUCUGGGAUUUUGAAAUUGGAGGGAGGCGGUAUUCACUUAUGAGCUGGCAAAGUACAACCUCC
Molecule: long non-coding RNA, 172 nt
Filed under: Capra hircus (goat)
Lineage: Eukaryota; Metazoa; Chordata; Mammalia; Artiodactyla; Bovidae
Description: lncRNA (ENSCHIG00000003937.1)
Source: RNAcentral